AAUCACAACCUUCAUACGAUUCUUGACGUACCCGAACGAUGUCGUAUUAGCGGCCAUUUUCAGAGCAACAUCCAACACCGCCAAAGUAUGACUGUCCUCAUAUAAGGUACUAUGACGACCUCAUGUCAAAGGACCAAUUCCACUAUCGAACGUUAGAGAUCAACCACUGACACUCAGAUAGUUAUCCAUGUAGAAUCUCUCGACGGGUCUCCAAUGUUUUGUUCUAUAACAAAAACAUCCACGUGUUCAUUUAAGUGUCAC
Molecule: long non-coding RNA, 261 nt
Filed under: Olea europaea (common olive)
Lineage: Eukaryota; Viridiplantae; Streptophyta; Magnoliopsida; Lamiales; Oleaceae
Description: long non-coding RNA (OEUR_LNC011551)
Source: RNAcentral